This 220-nucleotide ribosomal RNA is filed under the name uncultured Peptococcaceae bacterium. RNAcentral's name for it is "partial 16S ribosomal RNA". It matches the Rfam family "Bacterial small subunit ribosomal RNA", at positions 1163 to 1382 of the family's 1533-position model. The record is from RNAcentral. Lineage: Bacteria; Bacillati; Bacillota; Clostridia; Eubacteriales; Peptococcaceae.
CCGGAGGAAGGUGGGAUGACGUCAAAUCAUCAUGCCCCUUAUCGUUCUGGGCUACACACGUGCUACAAUGGCCGGUACAGAGGGCUGCGAAGGAGCGGAUCCGGAGCCAAUCCCAAAAGCCGGUCUCAGUUCGGAUUGUAGGCUGCAACUCGCCUACAUGAAGUCGGAAUCGCUAGUAAUCGCGAGUCAGCAUAUCGCGGUGAAUACGUUCCCGGGUCUU